UACGUAGGGCGCAAGCGUUGUCCGGAAUUAUUGGGCGUAAAGAGCUCGUAGGCGGUCUGUUACGUCCGCUGUGAAAACCCGGGGCUUAACCCUGGGCUGGCAGUGGAUACGGGUAGACUAGAGGCAGGUAGGGGAGAAUGGAAUUCCCGGUGUAGCGGUGAAAUGCGCAGAUAUCGGGAGGAACACCGGUGGCGAAGGCGGUUCUCUGGGACGGUACUGACGCUGAGACGCGAAAGCGUGGGGAGCGAACAGG
Molecule: ribosomal RNA, 253 nt
Filed under: uncultured bacterium
Lineage: Bacteria
Description: partial 16S ribosomal RNA
Rfam family: Bacterial small subunit ribosomal RNA
Source: RNAcentral